This 498-nucleotide ribosomal RNA is filed under the name uncultured bacterium. RNAcentral's name for it is "partial 16S ribosomal RNA". It matches the Rfam family "Bacterial small subunit ribosomal RNA", at positions 28 to 523 of the family's 1533-position model. The record is from RNAcentral.
GAUGAACGCUAGCGGCAGGCCUAAUACAUGCAAGUCGGACGGGAUUGAGAAGCUUGCUUUUCAUGAGAGUGGCGCACGGGUGCGUAACACGUAUGUAACCUACCCAUAUCAGGGGGAUAGCCUCUCGAAAGAGAGAUUAAGACCGCAUAACAUUAUUGAAUGGCAUCAUUUAAUAAUCAAAUAUUUAUAGGAUAUGGAUGGGCAUGCGGAACAUUAGCUAGUUGGUAAGGUAACGGCUUACCAAGGCUACGAUGUUUAGGGGAUCUGAGAGGAUGACCCCCCACACUGGUACUGAGACACGGACCAGACUCCUACGGGAGGCAGCAGUAAGGAAUAUUGGUCAAUGGACGGAAGUCUGAGCCAGCCAUGCCGCGUGCAGGAAGACGGCCCUAUGGGUUGUAAACUGCUUUUGCAGGGAAAUAAACCUCGAUACGUGUAUCGAGCUGAAUGUACUCUGAGAAUAAGGAUCGGCUAACUCCGUGCCAGCAGCCGCCGUAA